Molecule: long non-coding RNA, 1989 nt
Filed under: Volvox carteri
Lineage: Eukaryota; Viridiplantae; Chlorophyta; Chlorophyceae; Chlamydomonadales; Volvocaceae
Description: long non-coding RNA (VCAR_LNC003119)
Source: RNAcentral
UAAAAAAUGGCCAACGUCGUCACGACAAUGCUGAACUCGUAAAGGAGCGAUCCGAAUGGGCGCGCUGCGGUUGCUCCCAUUCCCGCCAUUCAGGUAGGGCGCGAAAGUCAUGCAGCAACAUGUGCUCCACUUCCAUAACCUCCGGUUACUGGCUUCAAAUCCAUGGCGGAACCGUGGACGGAAAAUGUGAACCGGCGGGCGAGCGCUGUAUUCUCGGGGUCACGUAGAUUUGAGUCAAAGUGGUAUAUUCCCCCGAGCCCGGCCGGUGCACACCUUGGAGCGUAGCUUGGUUUAGCUGCGCCGUAAAGGAAGUAAUCUGCUGCUGCAUUUGGAGGGGCGUCGUCGGAUCCGGGGCUGUGGGUGGGUGUUGUAGAGUCGGGCCGGCGUUGAUAUAUGCCGGAACCUGAGGGCCGGAAGGAAGCCCAGGCUGCGACAUAUCCGUCAACUGCCUGGUGUAAAUUGUUGUCGGAUCUGUUGUCGGCAUUAUUCCUAGUGUAACGGACAACAAUGCCGCCAAAGCAUGAACGAGAUCCGCUUCAAUGAAUCAAGAUCCUUCAUGGUGCUAGUAUUCUUCUUGUUUUUGUUGCUCAGUGCGUGCUGAUCAACAAAACGGGUCUCGCGCCUCUGGCGCGCUUUCUCUAACUACACCGCUGUGCCUUCGGUUCGCCAGCUAGACCCAUCAGGUAGAGUGCAGUGGAGAAUGUGAAACACUAGCACCAUAGAUUUAGCCCACCUAUAUGAAGCAUAUUGCAUAGUGCUAGUGGCGCCGAAUGUUCCGGUAUCGCUAGGCCUGACUCCGCUGGUGGAGGCAACUCACAGCUAUACUGCAUAGAUAACUGGAAUGUCACAGACUGGCAAUUCCUACAGGGCUUCUGCGACGUAGUUUAUGCCCCAUGCUUUCUCUGGAGCGGGUCAACAACCGCGGGUUACAGCAGGUGGCCGAAGUUGGCUGGUUAGAGCCGGGGGAGGGGGGAUCGCCCGUAUGCAUCAGCUCAUAGCAGGCGCAUCGUGCGACACCAGCCAUGGCACAGUGUGCCGCGUCAGCCUAUACCGAACAAGCAAGAACUGUGCAUGGAAGAGCCGAUGCACUCCCCUCCUCCACAUCCAUCAGAAUGCUGUCGGCCUGGGCUUGCACGGUGGCCUUAUCUGCAGCCCCCAUCAUCUGACGCAUGUGUGCCUGUUGGUUCAGGCAGGCAGCGGAUUGGGCUAGCACCCAUUUGAAGCCUGGCCACCAAUUGAGGGGUCCUCUGGGUCCAUGUGUGCUGUACUAUGUACCCAAUGAUUGAGGGUAUUGCUGAGAUCCCCGUGGUCCAGGAAUGGGUUUGGGGCAGUCCCGGCCCUGGCAUUGUUGCGCCAUAGCAUGGAAGGUGGUAUGGGUGAUGUGGUGGUCCACCGGGGUCGCAGAUGCUGUAUUGCUGCCAUAGUUCGCCACCGGCUCCAUGGUGUUGGACACUGGAAUAUGAUUAAUACAGGAGACGCCCGCUGGAUGGACGGCUGCCAUCCCUGCACUUGCCGCAGCCCACAGCCCGAUCUGGCACUCCUUGUUGGUGGAGUUACAAGUUCAGCUCGUAUGGGUAGUUUUACAGGUAUGGGGUCACGCACCCCCAACCAUGUAACACACACACACACACACGUUACAAGUUCCGCACAAGUUCGGGGCUGUCCAUAAAAGCCGGGGGGCCCAUGGACGGUAAAUCGUUUUUAGUGCGGUUACAUAGUGGACCAUCAUUGUCCCUCGUUCACUUGCGCACAUAGCGCCUUAGAGCAACGUGCCGGGUCUCCCAGACCUCUGAGAGGAACUUGGUGAUUGCCAGGGGUGGGGCCUCGGUCAUAAUCGUGCACAUGUCGCGCCCUGUGCACAUGUCACGCCCUGGUGGAGCUGUCAAACCCAGAUUCCCGAGAAUGUAGGCAGCAACACCGCUGCCACUUCACCCUGUUCACAGCAAUGGACUGUGGUUUAUGUUUGGACCCUCACGAUUAUCUAUUCAG